Aphis gossypii (cotton aphid) is the source of this 1834-nucleotide long non-coding RNA. RefSeq lists it as uncharacterized. NCBI's taxonomy places the organism in Eukaryota, Metazoa, Arthropoda, Insecta, Hemiptera, Aphididae. The transcript is spliced from 3 exons. The record is from RefSeq and is a predicted model, not a curated record.
CAUGGUCUGCUGCGCGACGGCUGCGUUCGCGGCUAUCCAUCCGGCCACGGCCGGGUCGUGUGAGUCGUCCAAAAACUGUACCCCACCGUUGCGCAUUUUGGGCGCGUCCGACGGAUCUGCUCGACACAACAAACGCAGUAUAGUAGUAACGAGCGAAGCCCAAAUUACAUCUCGUAUAGUAUAGUACAUCACGAAACGAUCGUAUUAUUAUAUAGUAUAUAAUAUAUACACUAUAUUGCCUUUUAAUAAAUCGAGAUUAAUUUACCGUUGCCGCGACACGAGAUUAAUACUUAUGACGGAGCUAAAUUAGUUCAAUUGAUCGGAAUUCUACGUACUGUCCAAUAACUAAUACCUAGUACAAUUGUUGUGGCCGUAGGAAAUGUGAUGGAAGCAAUCGGAGGGGCUAUAUCGAACGGACGGUGGUUCGAAUCGAGCAGAUAUAGCUGACAGCAUUAUAUUUUAACAGCUGACUCUUGCCUACGAUACACGGUGAACCGAAUGUAUUAUUAUAAAAGCUGUGUCGACGAUAACGCAGCAGAAGACGCAAGAGCACUGGUGGGAGUUACAAACAGGUGUCAUUGCGUCGUCGAUUUGUCACUACGCGGAUUAUAAAAACAACGAUAUAAAUUCCAUUGCUUCUAUAACUUCUAUUGGUUUUAUGAAGUUUUUGUAAGUUCUACUAAUCUUUACAUAGGCAAUUAUUUUUAAAAACGCACAAUAGAAUAAAUUAUUUUGUAAAACUAUACUAAUACCUAUUUCUUUCUUUAGAAAUUACUUGACGUUUACGACAUAUUAUUAUUAUUGAAAUCAAACUUCAAUAUCGAUCCACUCGAUAUACGUUUUACGAAUACGAGUGUUUUAAGGACAUUAAUGGUGCUAUCGUCAAUGUGAUUAUGGAAAGUUUGAUAAGUAUACGACAAUGGGAAAAGGAAAAGAAUAGUAUAGGUACUCUUGAUUGAAUAAAAACGGAAUGUAUCGAAUGUUUACGAGUUUUGAGUUGAAAAAAUGUCGGUAAAGAUCGGAAAUAUCAAACCACGAAAAACAAUUAGGUACUAUUUAUUUUCAAUUUUAUCAAUUAAAAGCAUACAUAUAUUUUAUAUCAAAAUGGUUUUAAUCAAAUGCAAUACAUCAUUUAUAAGUGUUAAACACAUAUAUAUAUAUAUUCUAGCUGUUACUCGCGUGCUCCGCUCCCGUGAAUAGUUGUUUGCAAAUUGUAGGGCUGUUUCUUUGUCUUAUAUAGUUAUUUCGAUGAUUCGAUCAUAAAAUGCUAUAAAGUGUUUAUAUCUUAUACGCGAAAUAAUACAAAUUCAAAUUUUUUUUUUAAUUCUCAUAAAUAUACUCAUAGGUAAAAAAAAUUUCUCACAUUAAUAUCAUUAUUAUUAAAAUAAUAUAAAAACAUAUUAUAUAAUAAUAUUAAAACGUCGUUAAAUGAAUAACAAUCAUAAUGAUUAUUAAACUAUAACAUUGGGCGUGACAUUUUGUGGGUCUUCGCAUCAUUCAGCCAAUCGGAGCGCUACUGACGUAUACUAUACUACUUUUCUAUUGGUUAUUAUUAUUCGAUGCGUUUUAACCUAUCUUAACUAUUCGAGUCUUAAGAUUAAGUAUGCCAGUCAUAGUUAGAACGCAGUGAUCUAUACUUCAAACCUCGCGGGAUCGUUCAAAGCACCGAGCCGUUGUAACAUCUCAUAUACGUCGACAAUAAUAAUUGAUUCAUCAUCGAUUCUACAUACACAUUCUAAGGUUAGUCGUAGGAAAUUAGUUAAUUAUUCGCUUUAAAAAAAAUAUUUUAAUAUAUUAUAAUAAUAUAUAAUGCAUAAUAUAAAAUACGUUGAAA